CUGGAUAUGGUCAAUGGCAUACUCGCCAGUGGAACCAGUUCUUGCAGUCUGUUGUGAUUUUGAAUGCCUGUUUUGUUUUCUUCUUCUGAAAAUGCUAUUGAAAGUUUCCAAGAAAUUGCAAGUGAGGCGCCUUUAAAAUUACUUCUUAUGAUCUCAACAUAAGGAAAGACAGAGUUGUUUGGUUUACAUCUAGAAUAGAAAGUAUUCUCUGGUUCAU
Non-coding RNA from Pelobates cultripes (western spadefoot toad), 217 nucleotides. The record is from the annotation of a GenBank genome assembly. NCBI's taxonomy places the organism in Eukaryota, Metazoa, Chordata, Amphibia, Anura, Pelobatidae.